GGAGUUUGUGGUGCAUGUGCCAUUACCUGAUGAAAAGGAGAUUGAGAAGAUGGUAUUGGAGAAGAAGAAGAUGGAACUGUUGAGCAAGUAUGCGAGUGAUAUGCUUUUAGAGGAACAGAAUGAAGCCAAGUCCAUGCUUAAUAUACAGAGAUAGACUCCCAAAAAUCGCCAUAGAUUUGGUUAAUCUGUUUUCCUUACUUGAAUUUUCCAUGGCUAUGCAAUGCAUCAGAACUCCUCUAGUCAACUGACAAAUCAUACUUUAUAUUCAAACAGAGUGAUAACAAAGAUCGAGGU
RNAcentral lists this unclassified non-coding RNA (294 nucleotides) under Hevea brasiliensis (rubber tree). Lineage: Eukaryota; Viridiplantae; Streptophyta; Magnoliopsida; Malpighiales; Euphorbiaceae. The record is from RNAcentral.